GGCGUGUUGACAGGCCCCAUACGUGGCGUUGGUUGUACCGGCGUAUGGGGAGAUUAUGUGGGAUACAGAGAAAUGAAAUAAGGUAUCGCCCAAGUGUGGAAUUGGAUUUUAGGGAAGAACUACGUGUGGCUUGAUCCCUCAAGGAGGGUACGUAGGCAGCCUAAGGUUAUUAGGUGCAGCCGCAGACUAAAUAUUAGUCAUAUUUGGUAUUUGAAUUGUUUGGUAAUCGGUUAAGAAUUAUUGGAAGGCCGAAGGCCAUUUGUGUGAAUUGCAUG
RNAcentral lists this long non-coding RNA (275 nucleotides) under Prunus persica (peach). RNAcentral's name for it is "long non-coding RNA (PPER_LNC006519)". The record is from RNAcentral. Lineage: Eukaryota; Viridiplantae; Streptophyta; Magnoliopsida; Rosales; Rosaceae.